Molecule: long non-coding RNA, 388 nt
Filed under: Zostera marina
Lineage: Eukaryota; Viridiplantae; Streptophyta; Magnoliopsida; Alismatales; Zosteraceae
Description: long non-coding RNA (ZMAR_LNC005995)
Source: RNAcentral
UGGAUUCAAGACGGAGAUAAUCUCAGACUCGCCUUGCCUGUAAGUAACUCUUCACCCCCUUCUUUUCUUCUUCUUCUUCUUCUGCAUAUUACCAUCGAUCGAUUAUCUGAAUCUUUGUUGGUUACAGAACGACGUCGAUGCAGGUGUGCUGAGAAAAGUGGUGUUAGCAGAUGGAGCAACAGUGACAGUGAAAGGAGCAAGAUCCGUUAGUCUUAAACACCCAAUCGAAUUCCAAUUACCUGUCAAUCAUACCCAUCCCUAUCGAUUUAUCAGUCUUUCAGCAUUAUCCGAAGCGAUUCGCCAAGAUUCAAGAACAGUAAGCUCCAACAAACACCAUCCUCUCGUUUCCCUUCGUAUCGAAGGACCAACUUCAAUAACGACAUCUUCA